Non-coding RNA from Salmo salar (Atlantic salmon), 54 nucleotides. NCBI's taxonomy places the organism in Eukaryota, Metazoa, Chordata, Actinopteri, Salmoniformes, Salmonidae. The record is from Rfam.
AGCAAUUUCUCCUGUAAGUUGUUCUGGAUAAGAACGUCUGCUAAAUGACUAAAA